UCCAUAUUGUUGAUCGAGCAUCCUAUUUGAUUGUGACUCUUGGUUCGGGCGCUUAUUAUUAUUCCCGUUCUUCGUCCUUGCCAUGAUCCUGAAACAAUUACUUCAAAUAUUAUAACAAACUCCAAAUUCAAACAUAAAAAUACAUUGUCAUGAAAUAAACAAUUUAGCAUAUUGUACAAUCAAUAAAACACUACUAAAGGAUAAAAUAAGGGUAUAGAAAAAAAAUACAACCGCAUCAUGUAAAAGAAAAAUGAGAACGACGAUAUUUUAAACAUAUGAGUAAACAAUAAAGCUCCACUUAAGCAUAUCCUAGACGUCAUCUACAUGAUUUUCUUGUAAGUCUUCCACCAAACAGAGAGUUUAGAAAUUUUUUUACAUCCUGAAUAAAGCUCUUUUUCUGCAUCUUCUAUAAGUUUAUAAAAUUGUUCAGCUUCUUUACAAGGUUUUUCUGUCUCUUCUACUGGUGGCGUUCCUUCAAAAUCAUUAAAUUCCGCACGCAUCCCAAAUCUAUCAUGUAGCAUUUCUUGCAUGUUAUCAGAUACAUGUACGUCGUCACAAUCUUGUGGUAGAUGUGUUUGAUCAGUGAUCAACUCUCCAUGAAGUACCCAUUUACUGUAUCCAUUUAAGAAACCAUUCCAAAGAAGAUGUUCUACCACUACAUCCCGUGUUUUGCAAAUGGCAUUUUUACAUUUUUUGCAGGGGCACAAGAUCAUCCUGUCAUUAGAAUUUGAGAAGGCAAAAUCAAGAAAAUAGUGCAACCCUAUAUGAUAUUCUGUUUUUGACCUUGGAAAAUCCAUCCAUUUUUUGUCCAUACUAAUAUUUCAUUAAAAUAUAAACAAUUAUGAAAAAUACACGAAAAAAAUAUUAAAUUAAAAUAAAAUCUUCAAAGAGCUGCAAAGUCAUUUUAUGUACUGGAACAAAAAAAAUACUUGAAGUACCUAUUUUUUAAGUAUAUUUCAACAUAUCUCAUUAGAGAUAUACGACAACUUAAAACCAAAGAUUUUCAUGGCUAAUUAAAAAAAAAAAAAGUAUGAAGCAUAUAUAGAAUCAUACAGUAGCUACACAAAGUUGUCAAAAUGCCCAAUAUAAUGUUCAUAAAUAUUUAAGGUCAUUUCAUCAUCAGGAUAGGUGCAAUAUAUAUCUGAUACAAGAAACCUAAGAAAUCACAAAUUCAUUAUACACUACAAAAAAGAAGAAUCAGACUAACACUCGGAUUAAAAAAAAAAAAAAAAAAACUCUGUUUCUAAUUUUAUCGAGAACAAGACCCAAAGAAAAACAUUAAAACAAAACUUAAUCUUGAAUCAAAUUACUGCAAAUAAAUCGAAUUAAAUUGAAUAAAUUAUACUGAAGUUAUUGAAUUCAAUUCAUACCACAAAAUCAAUAAGAUUCUUUGACGAAAAACCCCUUAAAAUUCUUAAUAAUCAGCAAAAACCCCAACUUGCAAUUUUACACUGAACAUAUAAAAAAAACAAAGAUGGCAGAUUUAAAAAGAAAUUAGCAACAACAACUGAUUUUACCUCGACGGGGUGUGCAAACCGACGGGUUAUCUUCGAGUUCUUUUGCUGAUUGAGUGCGUCGAUAUUUCUCCAGGAAUUUGAGUUCGUAUGCAAAAUUCGUCUUCAAUUCUUUUUCUCCGUGUUCUAGGUAUGAAAAUUGCCAAAGAAUUUGCUUCUUUCUCGCGGGAGUCGUAAUCGAAGUUUUCAGAGAAUUUGGCACUUUGU
Molecule: long non-coding RNA, 1721 nt
Filed under: Erythranthe guttata (spotted monkey flower)
Lineage: Eukaryota; Viridiplantae; Streptophyta; Magnoliopsida; Lamiales; Phrymaceae
Description: long non-coding RNA (EGUT_LNC000220)
Source: RNAcentral